CCUACGGGUGGCAGCAGUGAGGAAUAUUGGUCAAUGGGCGCGAUCCUGAACCAGCCAAGCCGCGUGAGGGACGACGGUCCUAUGGAUUGUAAACCUCUUUUGUCGGGGGGCAAAAUCCGCCACGCGUGGCGUUCCGAGAGUACCCGAAGAAAAAGCAUCGGCUAACUCCGUGCCAGCAGCCGCGGUAAUACGGAGGAUGCGAGCGUUAUCCGGAUUUAUUGGGUUUAAAGGGUGCGCAGGCGGAAGAUUAAGUCAGCGGUAAAAUUGCGAGGCUCAACCUCGGCGAGCCGGUGAAACUGGUUGACUUGAGAGAGUGAGAAGUAUGCGGAAUGCGUAGUGUAGCGGUGAAAUGCAUAGAUAUCACGCAGAACUCCGAUUGCGAAGGCAGCAUACCGGCGCUGAACUGACGCUGAUGCACGAAAGUGUGGGUAUCGAACAGGAUUAGAUACCCCAGUAGUC
Molecule: ribosomal RNA, 459 nt
Filed under: uncultured bacterium
Lineage: Bacteria
Description: partial 16S ribosomal RNA
Rfam family: Bacterial small subunit ribosomal RNA
Source: RNAcentral